CUUUGCCCAUGAAUUUAGCACCGCCUCUAGGCUGUGGCUGAGUCCAAUUCGGUUCGUUACGAUUCGCUAAGACUGCGGAUGCCAUGAAUAGUCCGGUAGAAAUCCGGCCGUUCUCCGGCGAGGGCUUCGCAAUUCAGAUGAACAAGAAAUCAUGAAUGGGACAGAGCGUAGUCCCACGCGCAACCUCUUUUAAACCACGCGCCACUGAAAUAUUGACCCACGAAAUCAAAAAAUGAAGAAAUCAAAUUAAUUUAACGGCUAAGAUCUUGCCCGAUCUUUCACCGGGCAGAUCUCAU
RNAcentral lists this unclassified non-coding RNA (296 nucleotides) under Hevea brasiliensis (rubber tree). Lineage: Eukaryota; Viridiplantae; Streptophyta; Magnoliopsida; Malpighiales; Euphorbiaceae. The record is from RNAcentral.